GAAGCGGUGGUGGAAUUGGUAGACACUAAUCAGGGCGUGGACGCACUUACCAAGUACGAUAGCGACGGCUAACAGAAAGGGACAAUCCGUACAGGUUCGAAUCCUGUCCGCUUCA
RNAcentral lists this transfer RNA (115 nucleotides) under Bacteroidota bacterium. RNAcentral's name for it is "tRNA-OTHER". It matches the Rfam family "tRNA". Rfam says of the family: Transfer RNA (tRNA) molecules are approximately 80 nucleotides in length. Their secondary structure includes four short double-helical elements and three loops (D, anti-codon, and T loops). The record is from RNAcentral. Lineage: Bacteria; Pseudomonadati; Bacteroidota.